GUGUUCACUUCAGCAGCACAUAUACUGAGAUUGGAACGAUACAUAGAAGAUUAUCAUGGCCCCUGCACAAGGAUGACAGAUUCAUAAAGCAAUCCAUAUUUUU
This is a small nuclear RNA of Kogia breviceps (pygmy sperm whale), 103 nucleotides long. NCBI's taxonomy places the organism in Eukaryota, Metazoa, Chordata, Mammalia, Artiodactyla, Physeteridae. The record is from RefSeq and is a predicted model, not a curated record.